Molecule: ribosomal RNA, 266 nt
Filed under: uncultured archaeon
Lineage: Archaea
Description: partial 16S ribosomal RNA
Rfam family: Archaeal small subunit ribosomal RNA
Source: RNAcentral
ACACGACUACAUUAGAUACCCCCCUGUAGUCCCAGCCCUAAACGAUGCGCGUUAGGUGUAUCGGUGACCACGAGUCACCGAGGUGCCGAAGGGAAACCGUGAAACGUGCCGCCUGGGAAGUACGGUCGCAAGGCUGAAACUUAAAGGAAUUGGCGGGGAGCACCACAACGGAUGGAGCCUGCGGUUUAAUUGGACUCAACGCCGGGAAGCUCACCGGAUAAGACAGCGGAAUGAUUGCCGGGCUGAAGACCCUGCAUGACCAGCUG